UAGCUAGUUGGUGGGGUAAUGGCCUACCAAGGCAACGAUGGGUAGCCGGCCUGAGAGGGUGUACGGCCACACUGGCACUGAGAUACGGGCCAGACUCCUACGGGAGGCAGCAGUGGGGAAUUUUGCGCAAUGGGGGAAACCCUGACGCAGCAACGCCGCGUGAGUGAUGAAGGCCUUCGGGUCGUAAAGCUCUUUUAGUGGGGAAGAAUCCCACCCGGGUUAAUACCUCGGGUGUCUGACGGUACCCACAGAAAAAGUUCCGGCUAACUACGUGCCAGCAGCCGCGGUAACACGUAGGGAGCAAGCGUUGUUCGGAAUUAUUGGGCGUAAAGAGCGCGUAGGCGGUUCGGUAAGUCUGACGUGAAAUCCCAGAGCUUAACUCUGGAACUGCGUUGGAUACUGCCGAGCUUGAGUGUGGGAGAGGAGAGUGGAAUUCCCAGUGUAGAGGUGAAAUUCGUAGAUAUUGGGAGGAACACCCGUGGCGAAGGCGGCUCUCUGGACCACAACUGACGCUGAGGCGCGAAAGCUAGGGUAGCAAACGGGAUUAGAUACCCCGGUAGUCCUAGCCGUAAACGAUGGGCACUAGGUGUUGGAGGUAUCGACCCCUCCAGUGCCGCAGCUAACGCAUUAAGUGCCCCGCCUGGGGAGUACGGUCGCAAGACUAAAACUCAAAUGAAUUGACGG
RNAcentral lists this ribosomal RNA (684 nucleotides) under uncultured bacterium. RNAcentral's name for it is "bacterial SSU rRNA". It matches the Rfam family "Bacterial small subunit ribosomal RNA", at positions 242 to 916 of the family's 1533-position model. The record is from RNAcentral.